AUCUUGCGCAAUGGGCGAAAGCCUGACGCAGCCAUGCCGCGUGAGCGAUGAAGGUUUUCGGAUCGUAAAGCUCUGUCCUUGGGGAAGAAGGCGGCCAUUUAUGGUCACUUGACGGUACCCAAGGAGGAAGCCCCGGCUAACUACGUGCCAGCAGCCGCGGUAAUACGUAGGGGGCAAGCGUUGUCCGGAAUUAUUGGGCGUAAAGGGUGCGUAGGCGGCCUUUUAAGUCAGAUGUGAAAGCCCACGGCUUAACCGUGGGAUUGCAUUUGAAACUGGAGGGCUUGAGUAUCGGAGAGGGUAGUGGAAUUCCCAGUGUAGCGGUGAAAUGCGUAGAUAUUGGGAGGAACACCAGUGGCGAAGGCGACUACCUGGACGAAAACUGACGCUGAUGCACGAAAGCUAGGGGAGCAAACA
This 414-nucleotide ribosomal RNA is filed under the name uncultured bacterium. Its description in RNAcentral is "partial 16S ribosomal RNA". It matches the Rfam family "Bacterial small subunit ribosomal RNA", at positions 361 to 774 of the family's 1533-position model. The record is from RNAcentral.